Small nuclear RNA from Herpailurus yagouaroundi (jaguarundi), 107 nucleotides. The record is from RefSeq and is a predicted model, not a curated record. NCBI's taxonomy places the organism in Eukaryota, Metazoa, Chordata, Mammalia, Carnivora, Felidae.
AUCCUCACUUUGGCAGCACAUACACUAAAACUGGAAAAAUACAGAGAAGACUAACAUGGCCCCUGCACAAGGAUGACACACAAAUUCGAGUAACUUAUUUUCUUCUC